GGGAUUGCCCUAGUAACGGCGAGUGAAGCGGCAACAGCUCAAAUUUGAAAUCUGGCUCUUUCAGAGUCCGAGUUGUAAUUUGCAGAGGGCGCUUUGGCUUUGGCAGCGGUCCAAGUUCCUUGGAACAGGACGUCACAGAGGGUGAGAAUCCCGUACGUGGUCGCUAGCUAUUGCCGUGUAAAGCCCCUUCGACGAGUCGAGUUGUUUGGGAAUGCAGCUCUAAAUGGGAGGUAAAUUUCUUCUAAAGCUAAAUAUUGGCCAGAGACCGAUAGCGCACAAGUAGAGUGAUCGAAAGAUGAAAAGCACUUUGGAAAGAGAGUCAAACAGCACGUGAAAUUGUUGAAAGGGAAGCGCUUGCAGCCAGACUUGCUUGCAGUUGCUCAUCCGGGCUUUUGCCCGGUGCACUCUUCUGUAGGCAGGCCAGCAUCAGUUUGGGCGGUGGGAUAAAGGUCUCUGUCACGUACCUCUCUUCGGGGAGGCCUUAUAGGGGAGACGACAUACCACCAGCCUAGACUGAGGUCCGCGCAUCUGCUAGGAUGCUGGCGUAAUGGCUGUAAGCGGCCCGUCUUGAAACACGGACCAAGGAGUCUAACAUCUAUGCGAGUGUUUGGGUGUCAAGCCCGAGCGCGUAAUGAAAGUGAACGGAGGUGGGAACCCGCAAGGGUGCACCAUCGACCGAUCCUGAAGUUUACGGAAGGAUUUGAGUAAGAGCAUGGCUGUUGGGACCCGAAAGAUGGUGAACUAUGCUUGAAUAGGGUGAAGCCAGAGGAAACUCUGGUGGAUGCUCGCAGCGGUUCUGACGUGCAAAUCGAUCGUCAAAUUUGGGCAUAGGGGCGAAAGA
This 841-nucleotide ribosomal RNA is filed under the name Bipolaris cynodontis. Its description in RNAcentral is "eukaryotic LSU rRNA". It matches the Rfam family "Eukaryotic large subunit ribosomal RNA", at positions 71 to 930 of the family's 3401-position model. Lineage: Eukaryota; Fungi; Ascomycota; Dothideomycetes; Pleosporales; Pleosporaceae. The record is from RNAcentral.